This is a non-coding RNA of Zootermopsis nevadensis, 1560 nucleotides long. Lineage: Eukaryota; Metazoa; Arthropoda; Insecta; Blattodea; Termopsidae. The record is from RefSeq and is a predicted model, not a curated record.
CCUUAAGAUAUGAACUGCUAGCGAGGAUACGUUAAAAUAGACAAGGCUCACAGGAAACGUUUUAGAAUUACGCAGGUUACCGAUACUGAAAUUUUGAACGAAUGUGUAAAAUGAUUGGCUAUAUUAGGAUGGCAAAUUACCUAAGAACUGUACCAAAUUUAAACAAUCCUAAAAUAUGCGUAUUUUCAUAAACUGGGGAAACUGAGAACGUUAUUAAGAAAACGGCUCUGACGAGGGAAAGUGGGCAAGGAAUUACAGAAGUUCAUCAGGAACAAGGAGAGUAACAUCUUUUUGUUACGUAUAACAAAACGGAAAGACAGGUUAUAUUUCGAGUGCAGUUUAUAGAAGUACGAAGUAUAACUAACCAUAUUUGUUUGUUCCAUCAUUACUAUCGAGGAAACGUGUACGACAAUUUUACUUCACCUUCCAUGUACUACAGUAUUAUCUGAAUGAAUGACAAAGAAAGCCCGGUUAAAGAAAUCAAGCAUCUGGUCGCACGCAUGCGUACAACAUCGGAAUCCCCACAUCUGAUGUGGAAAUGAGUGGCAGGCCUCCAUCAAGCUGCACUAUGACCCAGAAAAUAAUUGUAGAGACAUGGGAGAUGGGUCAGAAGACCCAUGUUUAUUGUCAUCGUCACUGACAACAUUGACUGCAACAGUAUUUGAUCUUCACCUCAUAAAAUGUACCAGCAACCUGUCCCAUUGAUGUACGCAGCUGAAGUCUGAACCUCUGGGCAGCCAGCUUCCUCUUAUUGCUAAGUGAGAACACAUUUUGAAUGUGUACAAAUUUGACAAAAUGCAUGCAUAAGCUAACAAACACAUACCUCAAACUCUGUGACACAGAGUUCAAUGAAGUUAAAGGUGGCUGCACAGGUGAUGAGUUACACUGUAGCAGCAAGUCUCUACAACUUUGUAUCUGCAGGGAGGAACUAUGGUGCCCACUUAGCACAAGAGUCUUAAUAUAGGUCAUUGGACCACAGCAAGUAUGGGGAAAAGCAGCGAGAUCUUUCCAAAGAACGGCAAACCAGCCUUCAAGCACCCCCUCCAUCGCAGACCGGGUAGCCCUUAGACACUGCAGCAUCCAAUCAUGUUUUGAGAACCUUAGAAAGGCAGAGCUUGACUGUCUAUAGACCCAAAGGGUGAAUCAGGAUCCCCUUGAGACGUCAUCAAUGGUCUUGCAUUUAGAGGCCUGCGUGGUACUAACUGUGAUAAAGAGGAAACUAGUCUCCUGGACAACCUACAUUGCUUACUCAGGGGACCUGAUGCUUCACAAGCCACAUCAGCAAAAAGCCCUGGUAUGUUCAUACCAGUUAUGAUGUUGUUGAGCAAGUACAACAGAAAAUAUGUGCUGCUGUACAUGCUGGUGAGAUGAAAAUGUUCUAGUAGCUUAUGUCAUCGGUUUCACUGCUAAACAGGUGCUUCCUGUUGUCCACUGUGAUGCACGCAAGUUAUGUCUGACAUCAAUCAAUGUUAUCAACCAAUGCCUUAAUAUAUUUCAAGGAGUUCAGUGAUACAAAACAGUCUCUCACCUAUGCCUCUGAGAAGUUGUAGGGACUGUAUG